This 639-nucleotide long non-coding RNA is filed under the name Trifolium pratense (red clover). RNAcentral describes it as "long non-coding RNA (TPRA_LNC007915)". The record is from RNAcentral. Lineage: Eukaryota; Viridiplantae; Streptophyta; Magnoliopsida; Fabales; Fabaceae.
GAGGAGUUCCACGUGAAACAACAACAAUUUGGCAGCAAGCACUCUCCACUCCCCUUACUUCAAGCUUACAAUUUUAACCUCUUCCCAAAUAAAACCAAUCAUCCACCAAGAGCAAAAGAUGAUGUUUUUCCUUCCCUUCUUGGCCAAUUAAACCCUAAAUUUCUAGUUUAAGUAGAGGACGUUUUUCAGAGCAAAGGGAGGCAAUUUUAGGAGCUGAAACGGAGAAGAGAAAAACCAAAAAAAUCUCAUUUUUUCAUCACUUUUCCAAAAUCCGAAAUUGACUCAAACACCUUCCAAACUUCAAUCUUCUUCACCCAAGAGCCUCCAAACACUUUCAGUAGAUAAUAACCAUCGAAAAAACGAAAGAAAAUCGUCCAGAAAAGCCUACCCAAAACUCCAAAAUUGCCAAGAAAAAGGGGUUAACAAACCCACUGAUACAAAGCUCAAAACAAGUAGGUUUCUAAACGUUUUUCACUCAUGAACACCCACUGAAGCUUUUCCAUUCGUUAAUUUUGCUUACUCUUGCUUAAAUCAUAUUUUGGUUUUUUGAGUUCUCAAGUUGUUGUUCCGUUUUUUCAAAAUAUAAGCCUCCACUGUGAAAUCUAAGCAUAGAUUCAUGACCAGUGCGAAAAACCGAGC